This 505-nucleotide ribosomal RNA is filed under the name uncultured bacterium. RNAcentral's name for it is "partial 16S ribosomal RNA". It matches the Rfam family "Bacterial small subunit ribosomal RNA", at positions 28 to 507 of the family's 1533-position model. The record is from RNAcentral.
GACGAACGCUGGCGGCGUGCCUAAUACAUGCAAGUCGAACGCACAGUUUAUACCGUAGCUUGCUACACCAUAGACUGUGAGUUGCGAAUGGGUGAGUAACGCGUAGGUAACCUGCCUGGUAGCGGGGGAUAACUAUUGGAAACGAUAGCUAAUACCGCAUAAUAUUAAUUAUUGCAUGAUAAUUAAUUGAAAGGUGCAAUUGCACCACUACCAGAUGUACCUGGGUUGUAUUAGCUAGUAGGGGAGGUAACGGCGCACCUAGGGGACGAUACAUAGCCGACCGCGAAGGGGGGGCGGCCCAACUGGGAAUGAGAAACGGCCCAUGAUCCUACAGGAGGCAGCAGUAGGGAAACUUCGGCAAUGGGCGAAAGGCUGACCGGGCAAAGCCGCGGGAGUGGAGAAGGGUUUCGGGUCGUAAAACUCUGUUGUAAGGGAAGAACGAAUGUGGGAAUGGAAAAUUCACACUGUGACGGUAUCUUACCAGAAAGGGACGGCUAACUACGUG